This 101-nucleotide small nuclear RNA is filed under the name Salvator merianae (Argentine black and white tegu). Lineage: Eukaryota; Metazoa; Chordata; Lepidosauria; Squamata; Teiidae. The record is from RNAcentral.
UUGCUUUGGCAGCACCUAUAGCAAAAUUGGAAUGAUACAGGGAAGAUUCACAUGGUCCCUGUGAAAGGAUGACGCACAUUCAUAAAGUGUUCCAUAUUUUA